AGGACAUCAUGAGCCGGCCAAAACAAAAUGCAGUGAAUUAAUUUCCAUUAUUAAAAUAGUUUUGAGAAAAACAAAAAGACUUUAGAGAAUCUCAUCUGGCAGCGUUUCUCAUGAAAUUUUGUUUUACGGUACCUCCCAAAAAAUGCGUGACUAAUCAUUAAGAUCUUUUCCAUAGAAUCUUUACAGCGGUUGUACCACGACAUCGUACCUGUGAUGGUGGUUAAAUGGUCAAGUGGAGAUUGAGGCCAUUUGCAAGUUUGCAACCCGUGUGCACCUAGACUUUGGUAUGCUUCCCAGGACGUGAGGUUAUGCUCUUAUUACCUUUGUACUUAUUGAUUUUGUUGUUGGGUCAUUGUUGAAUUGCAUAUUGUUUCUAUUUCCACUUUGUUCUCCCAUUUCAUUGUCCAUAAUAUUUCCGUGUUGGGAAUGUUGCUGUUAGUUCUGAUGUGUUGCAGGUUACCGUUGUAGUCUUGUUGCUGCGUCCUGCAUUGGAGCUUGGUUCUUCUCUCCUUGACUCCAUUUAUAAACCCGGUCCUCCAUUGUCGAAUGGCACUUGAUUUCUUGAUUGCAGCUUGGUUUUGCUGCCUCCUAACAGCUAGGUUAGAUAACAACUUGAGGUUGUUUCUAGGGCAUUUGAAUUAUUGACCAAUAUGCUUACUACUUGUCAUAGCAUUCUCUAGUGGAUAACAAAAUGGUAGCUCUCUUCAAUCCAUGGGCCUGCAGGCGUGAUUCUACCAGAAAACCUUUGCGGCUUACUGAAGAAUUGUGAUUGCAGUUGGAGCUUAUGUCCAAAAAGGUGUUGGCGGUACCGACCGUUGUAGACUCCGUGACAGUUGCCGCUGUUGGAUGUUCAUAUCACUGACGGAGUAGAACAUUAACCACGGCCAAAAAAUUCUCCUUAGCAUCAAAGGCGCUGGCAACGACAACCAUAAGAUCUAAUGCUCUAGAACGCCUUAAAGCAUUGUAAGUAUUGCUACCUGCACUGGUGGACCUUCCAUGUUUCCGCCCAUCUUCAAUCUUCUUCCAGUAAUUAUGUGCACCGACAUGAGGAUACAAGGUUAUAACUUUCAUAAGAACAAGCUACACUGGAAUUUCUGCCUUCUAAUGGGAGAGCAAGAGCUAUGGAGUCCAUGACAACCAAACUCUUAUGCGUAUUGCAAUUCACAACAUUUGUUAAAUGCAACAGGUCCUUUUUGUCAAAUGAAAAAUGGGAAAUUUGAAUGUCUUGUAACAAUUAUGCUUUGUAUGAAAGUGUGAAUUACUAAAACAGAAUCAAUGGAACUUAGGAUGUAACUUUGAAUUUGUUUCGUUAUGAUCUGCGUUUUCCCGCACGACUUGGCUUUGUCGCAGCUUGCGGCUUGUAUCUAUAUGUUUGGCUUAUGUAGCCUGUAGUCGUUUUUGGUUUAUGAUGUUGGCGUUGUAACGUCAUUUUUCCCUUUACCGUACUUGGUUCAUUUCACGUUUGAUGUUAUUUCUCUGCCAUGUACUGCCGCGUUCCAGUUUCUCAAGUCUACUUUCUCUUGUAGCUUUCUUUGCUUUUUAGUGGCAUUUUUCUUUUAUCU
This is a long non-coding RNA of Lathyrus oleraceus (garden pea), 1562 nucleotides long. RefSeq lists it as uncharacterized. The record is from RefSeq and is a predicted model, not a curated record. The transcript has 5 exons. NCBI's taxonomy places the organism in Eukaryota, Viridiplantae, Streptophyta, Magnoliopsida, Fabales, Fabaceae.